GCGGGACUCUGCACUGCCGCUCAACCAUUCGCUUAGCUUUACGUCAUUAGGAAAAAGAUGGACGCACUGGGGCUAUAAAAAGUCUAAAGUCUAACUUUCUGAUAUCUGGCUGGCAGAAGGGAAAUGGCACAUUUAGUGCUAAAGUACGGCUGAUCGAUUAAAGAUUGACAAGAGAAAUAGGUGUCCUGUUUCAUACACCCACAUGCAGAGAGCACAGCCAAUCAGGUGGAGCCAUUGGGUAUUGUUGAGGUAUUGUAGACGCGCGUGUGCGUGCGUGCGUGCGUGCGUGCGUGUGUGUGUGUGUGUGUGUGUGUGUGAUCAACAUAAUUAUGAAUAAGAUAUUCACUUUCUGCCCAGUCCAUUCUGUGAAAGGCCACUCAAUACUACACACAUUUCAUUUUGUCAUACUUAUGAAGUAAAUAUGUUGGUGCUGAGUAAGCACCAACAAACCAACAAAUAGCUGUUUUGUGAACAAUAUGCAAAUAGUGAAUAUUGUAGGGACGUUUUUCAUAAGUAAACAACUUAAGAAUACCAUUGGUGCCAUUUUAUAUACGUAUAUUUUUUAAUUGGAGAUUGAAAUCAGUCAUUCGUUAUUGACAAUGUUCAUUUAGUCCAGGACUCACUAGUCACACUACAACUAUGUUAAACUGCAGAAGAGAAGCAGGAGUAGAAGAAAGCCCUGGAAACAUUUCUUCCCUCCAGAAAUACAGAAAAUACCCAUUCUCUCCUCAACUCUACCCUCUUCCUGUGGCUUGGGUUGAACAUAACCUAAAUGAAACAUCUGUAGACAAGCUAUAUCCAUGAUGUGAGUAUUUAUUCUACGUCAGCGCUCUGGUGCGUAUUGGUUUGUCGUAUUCUUCCUAAGACUGAAUUACGAUGGCAGUAGAAGCAGUAGAAGUUGUCUUCAGUGAAUACAGAGUGCAGGCUGUUGUUAAGUGUUGCCUCUCAGGGUCCUAACUUACACUGCGUUGUUUUCCUUUAUUCAUUCCACUAAUGGAUGAAAACUAGGGAUCUGAAUAUUUAAAAUGUCAAAAUGGGUUCUGAAUAAUACGUGCAGUUCUGUUUGGAUUGGACAUAUAGAGUAAAAAAAAUGCUUUUUUAUACAAAACUUGUGUCGCCCCAAGUGCCCCAGGCCGAGAGCCAGAACUGGCAGAGCACACACAGACACGCGCCCAGCAUG
Long non-coding RNA from Gadus macrocephalus (Pacific cod), 1180 nucleotides. RefSeq lists it as uncharacterized. The record is from RefSeq and is a predicted model, not a curated record. The transcript has 2 exons. Lineage: Eukaryota; Metazoa; Chordata; Actinopteri; Gadiformes; Gadidae.